ACCUUCUUGUAUAAGCACUGUGCUAAAAUUGCAGAAACUUGAAUCCUGUUUUGGUUUCUGUAGUAAUGCUAGCAAAAGGAAAGUAUCUGCAGAGAUCCUAUAAUCCUAACUACUCAGGAGGCUGAAAUCUGAGGAUUGUAGUU
This is a small nucleolar RNA of Dipodomys spectabilis (banner-tailed kangaroo rat), 143 nucleotides long. RefSeq annotates it as small nucleolar RNA SNORA81. Lineage: Eukaryota; Metazoa; Chordata; Mammalia; Rodentia; Heteromyidae. The transcript has a single exon. The record is from RefSeq and is a predicted model, not a curated record.